GGUUGAUCAGUGGCGAACGGGUGAGUAACACGUGAGUAACCUGCCCUUGACUCUGGGAUAACUCCGGGAAACCGGGGCUAAUACCGGAUACGAGACGCGACCGCAUGGUCGGCGUCUGGAAAGUUUUUCGGUCAAGGAUGGACUCGCGGCCUAUCAGCUUGUUGGUGAGGUAAUGGCUCACCAAGGCGUCGACGGGUAGCCGGCCUGAGAGGGCGACCGGCCACACUGGGACUGAGACACGGCCCAGACUCCUACGGGAGGCAGCAGUGGGGAAUAUUGCACAAUGGGCGAAAGCCUGAUGCAGCGACGCCGCGUGAGGGAUGAAGGCCUUCGGGUUGUAAACCUCUUUCAGUAGGGAAGAAGCGAAAGUGACGGUACCUGCAGAAGAAGCGCCGGCUAACUACGUGCCAGCAGCCGCGGUAAUACGUAGGGCGCAAGCGUUGUCCGGAAUUAUUGGGCGUAAAGAGCUCGUAGGCGGUUUGUCGCGUCUGGUGUGAAAACUCAAGGCUCAACCUUGAGCUUGCAUCGGGUACGGGCAGACU
Molecule: ribosomal RNA, 542 nt
Filed under: Sanguibacter sp.
Lineage: Bacteria; Bacillati; Actinomycetota; Actinomycetes; Micrococcales; Sanguibacteraceae
Description: bacterial SSU rRNA
Rfam family: Bacterial small subunit ribosomal RNA
Source: RNAcentral